AUGCCCCCUUCAUUAAAAGUAUUAAUGAUAAAUACUAAGUAACUAAACACUUAUAAAUUCUCAAUCUUAGUUACUUAGGAAAAUGUGAAUAAGGUGCUAAUCCAUGAAAUUACACUUUGCACUUUGUUUAAGUCGUUAGUGGAACAUGUGUGAUUAACCGUUACACUAACCUGGAUUUAACAAAGUAGGCAAAGGGUAACUUAAUAUUUAUCAUAGUAUUGGUGGAGCAUGUGUGGUUAACCGGCACAUCGAUUGAGGGGUAAAUAUUAAGGAUACCAAGUAUAUUUGCAUGGUUACUUCACACCUUGUUUUGUGAUCNAAUUCUCCCUUCAUUAAAAGUAUUAAUGAUAAAUACUAAGUAACUAAACUCUUAUAAAUUCCCAAUCUUAGUUACUUAGGAAAAUGUGAAUAAGGUGCUAAUCCAUGAAAUUACACUUUGCACUUUGUUUAAGUCGUUAGUGGAACAUGUGUGAUUAACCGUUACACUAACCUGGAUUUAACAAAGUAGGCAAAGGGUAACUUAAUAUUUAUCAUAGUAUUGGUGGAGCAUGUGUGGUUAACCGGCACAUCGAUUGAGGGGUAAAUAUUAAGGAUACCAAGUAUAUUUGCAUGGUUACUUCACACCUUGUUUUGUGAUCCUCGGCAUCCCAGUCACAAAAACUAAAGGGCACACUCGAGAUUGAAACAUGCCAUUGAAAAGUUCAAUGAAUCUCAAAAGAAUCUAGGAGUUUCAAAACCAAUUAAAACCUAAUAAUACAUUUCCUUUAUCUUGGUGGAAAUUGGUGAAUCGUCAUUCACCUACCUUCAAAUAUUUUAUAGCUUGGAUUACGGCAUCCCUCUUCCAAGUUAUAAUAUAGUUUGUUGGGUCCUAGCCUUAAUAUUUCAUAUUGGGUGUUAUAUUAAGGACUUAAAUCAACUUUACUUGAAUUUCUCCCAUUGUUGAUGUCUGGUUUAGACAACAAUGAUCUUCCCGAAUCAAGCUUUCCUAAUGAAUAUGACUUCCCGAUUUUGGCUCAUGGAAGUCAUACUUCUCUUCCUCCACCUCCUCCAAUUAUUCUCCCUGACCCACAAGUUUGAAGACUUGAAAAGUUCAAGAUCACUCAAUCCCUACUCACAAUAAAACAUAAAAUUGGAAGUCCUGUGUCCACUCAUGUCUUGGGACUGAAGUCACACAGUGACAGGUUGAGAAUGUUGGGUGUCGUUGUCCCAAGGAAGUUGGCUAUUGAUUGGGUCUUUCAGU
RNAcentral lists this long non-coding RNA (1240 nucleotides) under Lactuca sativa (garden lettuce). RNAcentral's name for it is "long non-coding RNA (LSAT_LNC007345)". Lineage: Eukaryota; Viridiplantae; Streptophyta; Magnoliopsida; Asterales; Asteraceae. The record is from RNAcentral.